Schistosoma rodhaini is the source of this 42-nucleotide non-coding RNA. NCBI's taxonomy places the organism in Eukaryota, Metazoa, Platyhelminthes, Trematoda, Strigeidida, Schistosomatidae. The record is from Rfam.
CAGCUGACGAGUCCCAAAUAGGACGAAACGCGCGUCCUGGAU